GAAAGCGCAUGUGGAGGAUGCCUUGACUGAAGAUGCCUAAGAAGGACGUACGAGGCGACGAUAUGCUUCGGGGAGGUGCCAACGAACCUUUGAUCCGGAGAUUUCCGAAUGGGGAAACCCAUCCCUUUAUGGGAUACACCCUGCUGAACACAUAGGCAGGGCUGAGGCUAGCUUCCGAACUGAAACAUCUUAGUAGGAAGAGGAAAAGAAAGUAAUGAACGAUUCCGUGAGUAGUGGCGAGCGAAAGCGGAUGAGCCUAAACCACGCGUCAUUUAUGUCGCGAUGGGGUUGCAGGGCAGAGACGGGGGUUUACCCCUGGGAGUUAGUAUAAAAUUGGUUUAUAGCUGAAGGUGCCUGGAAAGGUCAGCCAUAGCGGGUGACAGCACCGUAAGCGAAAUAAAUCUGUCUCCUUGGUCUUUGUACCUAAGUACCACAGGGCACGAGAAACCCGGUGGGAAUCUGGGUCGGUCACGACCUAAGGCUAAAUACAUCUUCAGAUCGAUAGUGAACAAGUACCGUGAGGGAAAGGUGAAAAGAACGCCCAUAAGGCGAGUGAAAUAGUACCUGAAACCACAAUGCGUACAAGAUGUCGGAGCCCUAUGAUCCGUAGCAAUAUGGAUAAUGGGUGACGGCGUGCCUUUUGUAGAAUGAGCCAACGAGUUAGCUGUGUAUGGCGAGGUUAAGUGCGUGAGCACGGAGCCGUAGUGAAAGCGAGGCCUAAAUGGUCGUCCUAGUCGUACACACUAGACCCGAAACCAGGUGAUCUACCCAUGGCCAGGGUGAAGCCCCCUUAAAAAGGGGUGGAGGCCCGCACCCGGCAACGUUGUAAAGUUGCGGGAUGAGCUGUGGAUAGCGCAAAUAUUGCAAUCGAACCUGGAAAUAGCUGGUUCUCCUCGAAAUAUAUAUAGGUAUAGCCUGCUGUGCUGAUACAGAGAGGUAGAGCUCUGGUAGGGCUAUUGAGCCGUGAGGUUCGAAAACCCUGAUAAACUUCGAAUUCUUUGUAAUGUAGCAGCAGAGUCAGACGGUGGGGGCUAAGCUUCAUCGUCGAGAGGGAAACAACCCAGACCAUCGGCUAAGGUCCCAAAUUGAUAGUUAAGUGGAAAAGGAAGUGAAUCUCCCAAAACAACCAGGAUGUUGGCUCAGAAGCAGCCAUCAUUUAAAGAGUGCGUAAUAGCUCACUGGUCUAGUUAAGGAGGUUUGCGCCGAAAAUGUAACGGGGCUCAAACUAUCAACCGAAGCCAUGGACUUGCGCCUUUAGGCGUGAGUGGUAGAGGAGCGUUCCAUACUGCAGUGAAGCCGUACCGUAAGGAGCGGUGGAGCGGAUGGAAGUGAGAAUGUUGGCAUGAGUAACGAAUUAUCCAGGCGAGAAACCUGGACACCGCAAGAGCAAGGUUUCCUGGGCAACGAUAAUCGUCCCAGGGUUAGGCGGUCCUAAGCCGAGGCGUACAAGCGUAGGCGAUGGACAGCAGGUUGAUAUUCCUGCCCUUGUGCUGUUUUGGUUGGCGUGACGCCCUCGAGGGGCCUAUUGAAGCGCAUGGUUGCUGAUAUAGGUGAGUAGGGGGACAAGAAAAGCGUCCAACCGUUAAGGCAGUACAAUCCGUACCGCAAACCGACGCAGGUGCUCGAGUCGAGUAGACUCAGGUGAUCGGAAGAACCCUCGUUAAGGAACUCGGCAAAAUAGCGUCCGUAAGUUCGCAAUAAGGACUGUCCCGAUGUAAAAAUUGGGAUUACAACAAAAGAGAUCAAGCGACUGUUUAGCAAAAACUUAGCUCCCUGCCAAAGCGAAAGCUGAUGUAUAGGGAGUGAUGCCUGCCCAAUGCCCGAAGGUCAAGGGGCGGAGUGAUUGUGCUGAGGACUGAGAGAAGAGCAUAUUGUCAGAAAACGUGAUUCAAGAUGAAAAUUUUGUUUAUACGGGCCCUGCUGUAUCAACCUCUUCUUUCAUUCCUCAGUAUAUGAGCUCUAAACUUAAGCCCGGGUGAAUGGCGGCCGUAACUAUAACGGUCCUAUGGUAGCGAAAUUCCUUGUCGGGUAAGUUCCGACCCGCACGAAUGGCAUAACGGUCUUGAUCACUGUCUCAACGAGGGAUCCGGUGAAAUUACAAUCUCGGUAAAGAUGCCGAGUACCCGCAUCAAGACGGAAAGACCCCGUGGAGCUUUACUACAUCCUGGCAUUGGCUCACGGACACAUUUGCGUAGAAUAAGUGGUAGCCUUUGAACCAUCCCUUUUGGGGGAUGGGGAGGCGACAGUGAAAUACCACCCUAGUGUGUUUGUGAUUCUAACCCUUGACCUUGAAACAGGUCUUUGAGGGAACAGUGUUUGGUGGGUAGUUUAACUGGGGCGGUUGCCUCCCAAAUGGUAACGGAGGCGUACAAAGGUCAGCUAGUUCCGGAUGGAAAUCGGAACGAUAGCGCAAAAGCAUAUGCUGGCUUAACUGUGAGGCCUACAAGCCGAACAGAUAGGAAACUAGGUUUUAGUGAACUGCUGCUCUUGAGUGAUUUAGGCAGCAAUCAACGGAUAAAAGUUACCCCGGGGAUAACAGGCUGAUCGCAUCCAAGAGAUCACUUCGACGAUGCGGUUUGGCACCUUAACACAUUGGGGUGCUACAGGAGCAAUCCUGUACCAAAUCCUUUGUUUUCCACAAAACAGAGGGCAAAAAUUCGGCUUAUAACGGUGAAACCCGACUAUACAUUUACGGUUUUUGUUUGGUAUGAUGUAAUGUAUAAGGGCAAUACCGUGGGAAGUCUAUCUUUAGCACAGAACGCGAUUCUAAUUGGCAGUUUGUUGGGCGAUGGCACGCUUCGGAGACAAGGCACACGGACGAACGCCUUAUUCGAAGU
Molecule: ribosomal RNA, 2837 nt
Filed under: groundwater metagenome
Description: bacterial LSU rRNA
Rfam family: Bacterial large subunit ribosomal RNA
Source: RNAcentral